AUGCGAUGGUUGGACUCUGUAGCUGUGCGGUCGACGAAGGUUGCAGAUCCACUGCAGUCGGAUCUACGGUGGCAAGCGGAAGGAGUGCGAGCCGGUGGUCCGUGUGCGGAAGAUUUUUGGGGGUGUGCGCGCGAGGAGGAGAUUGGAGUUGGCAAGAUCGGAGCAGCGCGGUCGCCUUACUAUGGAUGUGCGUGGGUUUGGAAGCUGAAGGCGUUAUCGAUCUCAGUUCUGGGCGUCAGAGGUCGAAGGUGUGAAGAACUGAGAAUUCGACGGCGAGCGAUGGUUGGUGGAGCGAAUCUGCAUGGUGAGAUUUGGAGGAGGCGUGCAGAGUCCGCGAUGACAUCCGGUUGUCGGGGAAAUGCUCUAAAGCAUUGGAUAAGAAAGAGUGCGAAGAUGUGA
Molecule: long non-coding RNA, 399 nt
Filed under: Vicia faba (fava bean)
Lineage: Eukaryota; Viridiplantae; Streptophyta; Magnoliopsida; Fabales; Fabaceae
Source: RNAcentral